UAAUCUACCGUUCUCUCUUCAGUUCUUAUCUUGUUCACAGACCAAGAUCCCCUUCUUCUUCCACAGAUAAUAUCUCUUUCAUCGUUUUUCAUCAUCACAAUCCCUAAAUCAUAAAGCCUUUUGUUUUAUCAACAGUUCAAUAUUGACAAAGUCUAUUAUUAUUUUUUUCUCAUCCUCAAAUUCAACAAAGCCUCGAAGAACCCUAGAAUAGAAAUCCAGUUUUUCUCAAUAAUUAAGUUCAAAAUCUAAGUCAGAAAUUGAAGACUAACCUUCAUUAAAUCUAUUCCAGAAGUUCACUGUCACAAAUCAUAACUUCAUUAAAACCCCUAUCUCAAAUCAGGACGCAUGUAUUAACAGAAAUCAAACAUUGUAACCCUGGAUCUAGUCUUUUCUCUCCUGAAAUCAUCAGAUAAGGUGUUUCCUUUUCUAUUUUCACCUAUAGCUUCUCUGAAUGAAGAUAAGGGUCUUUAUGGAUUCAAAGUCUUAAAAUCUGAAUGGUUUUCAUUGCUUCGUUGAUGAAGCUAUCGAAAGGAGAAUUUUUCUUAUGUAUCAGAUUCUAAUGUCGAUAUUAUUCGAGCCAUGGAUGAGAUUGGGGGUACGGUACGUAUUAGGUAUGCUCUGUAGACUGUAGUGGAUUCAGCAGAACUUUGUUGGAAUACUCAUCCCGAUAGGUACACUGAUUCUUUGAGAAACUGAUGUUUUGGUGUUUAUCUGUUGUGGGUUUAUUGAAAGUUCUUCUCUUUUUCUUUCUUGGUAGAGAAUAUGUGGAGGAGGCUAAUAAGGCGACUAUUAGAAUUCAUGAAUAUCUACAUGUGAGGUGACCGUUGUCUAUUCAGUUAUGCUGUUUUGAGUUUUUGUUUGUUCUGCAUUCAAUUCAUUGUUGUUCACGGGUCUAUUUAGGUAAGUAUACAAUUUGCAUGUGUAUUAUCAAUUAUGGAGGAGGAUCCUAUAAGUAAACAAUGACAGACUCUUUUCUUCUUUUUCUACGUGUUCGUUCAAAGUAAAUAUAUAUAGUUAGGCGUUGAUGAUGUAUGAUGUGCAAGGACAAUAACAAUCAAGCUUUUUAUGCUGGAUUUUCCUUACAGUUUCUGAAUAAAAAUCACUGCCUUUACAAUGCAGUAUUAAAGGCCAAGGGUUUAGUGAGAUGUGUAUUAUCAAGCGUUUAGUGAGAUGAUUUCAAAGUUGAGAAGGAAUGGAAGAUUCAUAGGACUCUUAAAACUAGCCAAGAAAAUGGUGUUGUUGUUGUUGAUUCAUUGGGUUGAAUAGUUAUGGUUUAUAGAUGUCCAAAAUUGUUGGGUUUGUAUCCAAACUCGGAUUUGCAUGUGGAGAAGCUGUGAGAGGAGCUCAAACCAAUCAGGGAAAACUGCAUAGCUACUGUUCGUCGAAAUUCCUGAAAGAAGAGGACAUUUCUUAGUAUGAAUUUCAUGUUCAUUUCUUUGAGCAUUCUGUUGUAGUUUGAGAUUUGGCUAAUUAUAAUUUGUGACCAUUCAACCAAUUUGGAACCGACACAAGGUGGGAUAUCAUUUCUACUUAAAAAUGAUAUGACUUAGGUGUUGAUUGUGCUAAUCAAAUAGAAAAUUACUAAUUAGCGCUCAUCUUUAGCCGUAACCCAAUAGUAUAUGUCACCUUUAAGAAUGGUUGGUUACAAGAUUUGUAUGACCUGAUCUUGGAUUGUUCUAUGCUAAUUAAAUGCACUUGUUUUUCAUUAAUUAUGGACCUGAUGCUUCCAUUUUAGAAAGUGUUAUCUUAUGUGUAGCUAGCUUGUACAAACAAUUGAAUAUGGUUGCCUUUUGAAUUUAUGUAUGUGUAGUGUACACUGUGUUAUUGCUGUUAGUGGAGGAAAAUGUUCGCUACCUGUAUCCGAGAGACACAUGCUAGCUAAUUUUUAUUUUCAUUUUAAAUGAGGUCAUGCAGGUAGCCCCGGUGCAUAUAUUUGUGUUUCACUUUGUCAUUUUAGAUUGGGAACUGGAACUCUUAUUCUUUCCAUCUUCAUAAAAGGGUCUAGGCUACAAUAAAUAGAUGGACCUCAUAUAGACCUAUAGUAUGGGUCAGAUAAAGAGUACGUAGAAAGUUUUGCAUACAGCAGUCAAACAUGCAGACUUGAACUUGUAUGGAAAGGAUAUUUUUCUUCUUUUGGUCUGUUUGACCCUGUCUAGUGCAUUUCGAUGUUUUAAUUGCCACUGCUCUCUUCACUAUGAGCUCUAUUAAACUAAUAUGGUGAUGUUUUCUAAAGGAGCCUAAUUUUUUGGUAUUGUCCCUGGUUCCAAAAGAGGAAUAAUGGCUUGAUGCUUACUUUGUGUUUCAAUGGAACACAUUGCUUUAAUGACUUUAUUUAGUAUUGUUGUCUCUUGUUACAUGAACUUGGUAACACUUGCAUUUAUUUGUUUAAUUAAAAUAAAGAAUGUCUUUACAUUGUCAAAAAAGACCAAGACAUGUUGAUAGUAUGAAGUGAGUCACGACCACCAUAUUCAUUUUUAUUUAUUUUGUAUCUGUAUAUGUCACUUGCCAAGGGUUAUGUAUGCUAUAUUUUUUUCAUAUCAAGUCGUGGAAAUAUAUACAAUGAGUUGCUGUGAAAAUGUUAUGAGCUGUAUCUUAUUUUAGCAAAAGGGAAAUGUAAAUCCAUGGUCCUGGUGCUAACUGUUGAAGGUCCGGUAAGUAAUACUGCCACAUUUCCUUUGAGAGAAAAUAAAGAUAAUUUGAUAUGUCGCAGGAUCAGACUGGCAUGCGCUGCCAAAGUUGUUAUGAACUUUAGCGUCUUAGUGCUAUUUGUUUCAUUUUUUUCUCCUCCAUUAUAGUCAUUCACAUGCCGUCGUGCUAAUUUCCUUAUUGUUUGGGAAUUUGGCUAUCGCAUAUCUAGUGUGCAGGAAUGGCUUAUGUAUCUGUUUGGUUUCAUGGGUUAUACAAAUGAAGACCAUCCCUUUAUUAAUAAUUAGGUCACACAAGAUAAAGAAUGUACAAGGAUAGUGUUGCUGGCCAAUGUUAGAGAUAGUUAACCGAAGAUCAAGGAAGAUCAAGGAGCAAGUGUCAAAAUUACAUUCCCUGGUUAAGAGAUCAACUUCUAGGCACUCCCAUGACAGUUUUUCAUAGGCUCGUACUUGGAGAGCUGAGCACAUGGUCGCCUCUCCAUGUUAUCAGGAAAUAAGCAACGAUUUCAGAAAUGUCGUCGAGGAGAGAUAUUCCUGUAGACUUAGCAGAAGGAGCGCUCCAUGCAAUUUUGCUUGCAAGCAUUCGGCAAGUAUAAUAUUCCGAUCAGUUGGGGAGCUCAGUUCAUCUUUUUGUUGGUUUUAGUUUUGUUUUUUUAAUUCUGUAGGUUGGGUUCCAGUGAUUGUAAGAAAAUUAGUUUUUAAGAAUGCUCAAGUAUAAUUAUAACUUAGAAUGGUGUUAGUUCAGGACUUGUGUAAAUUAUUUUGUGGUUUUUGACCUAACUGUUAGCUCGAUUAAUGUAAAUCGAGUUACUAGUGUAAUCAUAUUUCGAAUUUGAAUUGAAUGGUGAACGUUUUGAUAUCAAA
This is a long non-coding RNA of Papaver somniferum (opium poppy), 3509 nucleotides long. RefSeq lists it as uncharacterized. Lineage: Eukaryota; Viridiplantae; Streptophyta; Magnoliopsida; Ranunculales; Papaveraceae. The record is from RefSeq and is a predicted model, not a curated record. The transcript has 7 exons.